RNAcentral lists this transfer RNA (72 nucleotides) under Isosphaera pallida ATCC 43644. RNAcentral's name for it is "tRNA-Val (TAC) (tRNA-Val-TAC-1-1)". It matches the Rfam family "tRNA". Rfam says of the family: Transfer RNA (tRNA) molecules are approximately 80 nucleotides in length. Their secondary structure includes four short double-helical elements and three loops (D, anti-codon, and T loops). Further hydrogen bonds mediate the characteristic L-shaped molecular structure. tRNAs have two regions of fundamental functional importance: the anti-codon, which is responsible for specific mRNA codon recognition, and the 3' end, to which the tRNAs corresponding amino acid is attached (by aminoacyl-tRNA synthetases). tRNAs cope with the degeneracy of the genetic code in two manners: having more than one tRNA (with a specific anti-codon) for a particular amino acid; and 'wobble' base-pairing, i.e. permitting non-standard base-pairing at the 3rd anti-codon position. The record is from Rfam by way of RNAcentral. Lineage: Bacteria; Pseudomonadati; Planctomycetota; Planctomycetia; Isosphaerales; Isosphaeraceae.
GGGCGAUUAGCUCAGGGGUAGAGCGUCCGCCUUACACGCGGAUGGUCGGGGGUUCAAAUCCCUCAUCGCCCA